Long non-coding RNA from Polypterus senegalus (gray bichir), 1826 nucleotides. RefSeq lists it as uncharacterized. NCBI's taxonomy places the organism in Eukaryota, Metazoa, Chordata, Cladistia, Polypteriformes, Polypteridae. The record is from RefSeq and is a predicted model, not a curated record. The transcript has 3 exons.
GUUUAAUAGGCAGACAUUUAAAGAGAAGCUUUUAUUGAACUGACUGUAGCAUACUUGUCAUCUUCCUAAAAUGACUUCAUUUCUAUGAGAUCGUGACGUGCAGGCAGUCACUUUCUAACAUCAGUCGAAGGGAACGGAAAGUUUCUAAUUUGAAAGGGGCGGACGGACCUCCAAGGGGGGUGAGCUUUGGGGGUGGGGCUUAAGGAAUGAGGAGACUAAAAGUGACAGACGGUGGUGACAAAUAAAGUGGACGAAGACGUGAAGUAGUUGAGACCGGAAAGCUGCAGGUCUUCGAGUUUUGGAGGUGCGCUCCGUUUGUAAAGGAACCGAACUGAGCGAUAAACUUGACGAGGCCCCGUCAGCUGUGAGCCCCCCCGGUCUUAUUUACACGGAUCGCUACAAUACCAAUGAUUAAACAGAAGAUUAAAAAUCAUGGGGGCUAGGAGCUCGUGCGGACUGUGCUGACACUUUUGUUUUGUGACAUCAUCUCAGUAAAGAGAGUUCGGGACGUUACAAAUGACAGCUAUUUUGAUAACUUAUAUGGGCAACAGAUUAUAAUUUUUUUUUUUUUACUGUUUUUAUUUUAAUUCAAUCAAAAUUAUUUUAAAACAUAUUACCAGUGUUCAUUGCUCGUGCAGAUAUGUAACGUUUGGUCAGAAUAAACAGAAAAGUACCAAAAACAUAUAGUAGUUCUGAUGCGUUUCACCGACAAUCAACACAAAUCCUCGUCUGUCUGAGUGUCCGGCCGGUGAGCCGGCUUAUGACCCUCGAAGGUGGACGCCGUCCGAGGUCUCCGCUGCAUUUGGUGCCGGCAUAGUGUGUGUCAGUGCGGCUGCAGCACACGGAGAGGUGACCGACGAGAGCUCAAGUGAUGGACACCUCUUCACCCUGAUGCCCGGGCUCUUCUAUCAAAUAUUCCUCUCUUGUGCUUUUUUCAUUCUUGCCACUUUAGGAUUAUUAGCAUUAUUGAAAACGUAUGUAAAUAAAAUGUCUGUCUUUUUUGUGAAUGACAGAAGGAACGAUGAAGGAUUGAAUGAAACGCAGCGUUGAUGAUCGGUGUCAAGUGGCAGCAGGGGUCAGCUUUGGGUGACUCGGCUGGUCAUUUAAAUGUGUCGGUGAAUGGACGAUGAGUUAAGAAUGUAGACGGGAGAGCAGCUCGGUGUGAUUCCGUUUACCUGAUUGCUUUAUUCUGCUGUGCUACCGUCCGGACGAUUUCUAAUUUACUGAUCCCUCGACAGACAGCCUUUGGCCAGAUUCUCUCACAAGGCGCUGGUGUUUUUGAAAGUCUGGCGCCAGGAUUUCCUUAACCAGUUGCUCUUUCUGGCAGUCCCGGGGCUCCCGAUAACUGAUGUGGACGCGGCCGAUGGCAACGACUCAGCGUGAAAGACGACAUUUGGUUGUGUCGAGAGCACAGAGGAUUACAGCUUACAGCAGAUAAAACAGCUUCCAUGUGGCCCUGGAGGACAUUUAUAGCACAGACUGCAUCAGGAAAACCACCCACAUCUGCUUGAAUUCAACUCACCCAUGCCACAGUCUAUUUGAACUUCUUCCAUCCUGCAAACACUUCAGAGCCUUUCCUGCACAGAACUCAAGGCUCAGAAACAGUUUCAUCCCAAGAGGUCAAUCAGUCCUUCAAGAUCUCCCGGUAGAACGGAAAAUUAGCUUAUGGAGGAGAUGCAUAUUGAGUCAACUGUGCUGGAUGACAAUUCAGUCUUUGGUGAAGAAGACCCCCUUCACAACAUUUAACCAAACCAAGAUCACUCUCUUGGAGGUAGACCUAUCAUUUUCAAAAUCUGCAAUCAAGAGAAGACUACAUGAAAGUAAAG